ACAGGAGCACCCCAAGGAGAUGUACUAGGACGAAUGAAACCGAUGUCCAACAACUCUUGUAGUUGGACCUCUAACUCCUGAAGUUCAAUAGGAGCCAUUCGAUAUGGGAUUUUAGAAAUGGGUUUUGUACCAUGUUCAAGGUCAAUAAAGAAUUCAACUUCACGUUCUGGGGGUAAAUCGGGAAGUUCUUCAAGAAAUACGUCAGGAAAGUCAAUAACAACAGGAAUAUUAUUCAAAUUUGACGUGUCUUUAUUCAAAUCCAUAACAUGGGCUAAGAAAGCUUGACAUCCGUUUUUCAAUAAACGAAUAGCUUUAUGAUUAGAUAUGACAGUGAUUGAUUUUAAUGGUUUAGUUGCUUGAAUUCGUACAACAGGUUGUUUAGGAAUAUGAAAGCUAACAACCUUACGAAAACAAUCAAUUUUGGCAUGAUGAGUAGUUAACCAAUCAAUCCCUAAAAUCACAUCAAAAGCAAGAAUCUUUAAAGAGAUAAGGUCAACAGGUAAUGUAAUGGUGCCAAUUUGGAUCAAACAAGAUUUAUAAACAGUG
This 546-nucleotide long non-coding RNA is filed under the name Panax ginseng (ginseng). RNAcentral describes it as "long non-coding RNA (PGIN_LNC010295)". The record is from RNAcentral. Lineage: Eukaryota; Viridiplantae; Streptophyta; Magnoliopsida; Apiales; Araliaceae.